This 253-nucleotide ribosomal RNA is filed under the name uncultured bacterium. RNAcentral's name for it is "partial 16S ribosomal RNA". It matches the Rfam family "Bacterial small subunit ribosomal RNA", at positions 524 to 776 of the family's 1533-position model. The record is from RNAcentral.
UACAGAGGGGGCAAGCGUUGUUCGGAAUUACUGGGCGUAAAGGGCGCGUAGGCGGCCUUCUAAGUCGAACGUGAAAUCCCCGGGCUCAACCCGGGAACUGCGUCCGAUACUGGAAGGCUUGAAUCCGGGAGAGGGAUGUGGAAUUCCAGGUGUAGCGGUGAAAUGCGUAGAUAUCGGAAGGAACACCCGUGGCGAAAGCGGCUCUCUGGAACGGUACUGACGCUGAGACGCGAAAGCGUGGGGAGCGAACAGG